CCUACGGGAGGCAGCAGUAGGGAAUCUUCCGCAAUGGACGCAAGUCUGACGGAGCAACGCCGCGUGAGUGAAGAAGGUUUUCGGAUCGUAAAACUCUGUUGUUAGAGAAGAACAAGUGCUAGAGUAACUGUUAGCGCCUUGACGGUAUCUAACCAGAAAGCCACGGCUAACUACGUGCCAGCAGCCGCGGUAAUACGUAGGUGGCAAGCGUUGUCCGGAUUUAUUGGGCGUAAAGCGAGCGCAGGCGGUUCCUUAAGUCUGAUGUGAAAGCCCCCGGCUCAACCGGGGAGGGUCAUUGGAAACUGGGGAACUUGAGUGCAGAAGAGGAGAGUGGAAUUCCAUGUGUAGCGGUGAAAUGCGUAGAUAUAUGGAGGAACACCAGUGGCGAAGGCGACUCUCUGGUCUGUAACUGACGCUGAGGCUCGAAAGCGUGGGUAGCAAACAGGAUUAGAUACCCCAGUAGUC
This 465-nucleotide ribosomal RNA is filed under the name uncultured Granulicatella sp. RNAcentral describes it as "bacterial SSU rRNA". It matches the Rfam family "Bacterial small subunit ribosomal RNA", at positions 338 to 795 of the family's 1533-position model. The record is from RNAcentral. Lineage: Bacteria; Bacillati; Bacillota; Bacilli; Lactobacillales; Carnobacteriaceae.